AGCACUUUAUUUGAUUUCCUUCGGGACUGAUUAUUUUGUGACUGAGUGGCGGACGGGUGAGUAACGCGUGGGUAACCUACCUUGUACAGGGGGAUAACAGUUGGAAACGGCUGCUAAUACCGCAUAAGCGCACAGCAUCGCAUGAUGCAGUGUGAAAAACUCCGGUGGUAUAAGAUGGACCCGCGUUGGAUUAGCUAGUUGGUGAGGUAACGGCCCACCAAGGCGACGAUCCAUAGCCGACCUGAGAGGGUGACCGGCCACAUUGGGACUGAGACACGGCCCAAACUCCUACGGGAGGCAGCAGUGGGGAAUAUUGCACAAUGGGCGAAAGCCUGAUGCAGCGACGCCGCGUGAGCGAAGAAGUAUUUCGGUAUGUAAAGCUCUAUCAGCAGGGAAGAUAAUGACGGUACCUGACUAAGAAGCACCGGCUAAAUACGUGCCAGCAGCCGCGGUAAUACGUAUGGUGCAAGCGUUAUCCGGAUUUACUGGGUGUAAAGGGAGCGCAGGCGGUGCGGCAAGUCUGAUGUGAAAGCCCGGGGCUCAACCCCGGUACUGCAUUGGAAACUGUCGUACUAGAGUGUCGGAGGGGUAAGCGGAAUUCCUAGUGUAGCGGUGAAAUGCGUAGAUAUUAGGAGGAACACCAGUGGCGAAAGGCGGCUUACUGGACGAUAACUGACGCUGAGGCUCGAAAGCG
RNAcentral lists this ribosomal RNA (694 nucleotides) under uncultured Lachnospiraceae bacterium. RNAcentral's name for it is "bacterial SSU rRNA". It matches the Rfam family "Bacterial small subunit ribosomal RNA", at positions 63 to 761 of the family's 1533-position model. The record is from RNAcentral. Lineage: Bacteria; Bacillati; Bacillota; Clostridia; Lachnospirales; Lachnospiraceae.